AUUGAACGCUGGCGGCAGGCCUAACACAUGCAAGUCGAGCGGAUGAAGGGAGCUUGCUCCUGGAUUCAGCGGCGGACGGGUGAGUAAUGCCUAGGAAUCUGCCUGGUAGUGGGGGAUAACGUCCGGAAACGGGCGCUAAUACCGCAUACGUCCUGAGGGAGAAAGUGGGGGAUCUUCGGACCUCACGCUAUCAGAUGAGCCUAGGUCGGAUUAGCUAGUUGGUGGGGUAAAGGCCUACCAAGGCGACGAUCCGUAACUGGUCUGAGAGGAUGAUCAGUCACACUGGAACUGAGACACGGUCCAGACUCCUACAGGAGGCAGCAGUGGGGAAUAUUGGACAAUGGGCGAAAGCCUGAUCCAGCCAUGCCGCGUGUGUGAAGGUCUUCGGAUUGUAAAGCACUUUAAGUUGGGAGGAAGGGCAGUAAGUUAAUACCUUGCUGUUUUGACGUUACCAACAGAAUAAGCACCGGCUAACUUCGUG
RNAcentral lists this ribosomal RNA (481 nucleotides) under uncultured bacterium. Its description in RNAcentral is "partial 16S ribosomal RNA". It matches the Rfam family "Bacterial small subunit ribosomal RNA", at positions 30 to 507 of the family's 1533-position model. The record is from RNAcentral.